ACAGGGAUUGCCCUAGUAACGGCGAGUGAAGCGGCAAUAGCUCAAAUUUGAAAGCUGGCUUAUGGCCCGCAUUGUAAUUUGUAGAGGAUGCUUUUAGGCAGCCGCCGGUCUAAGUUCCUUGGAACAGGACGUCAUAGAGGGUGAGAAUCCCGUAUGUGACCGGCUCUGGCACCUUAUGUAAAGCUCCUUCGACGAGUCGAGUUGUUUGGGAAUGCAGCUCUAAAUGGGAGGUAAAUUUCUUCUAAAGCUAAAUACUGGCGAGAGACCGAUAGCGCACAAGUAGAGUGAUCGAAAGAUGAAAAGCACUUUGGAAAGAGAGUUAAAAAGCACGUGAAAUUGUUGAAAGGGAAGCGCUUGCAAUCAGACUUGGACUUGGCUGUUCAACAGGUCUUCUGACCUGCCUAUUCAGUCUUGUCCAGGCCAGCAUCAGUUUCGGCGGCCGGAUAAAGGCCCUAGGAAUGUGGCUUUCCCUUCGGGGGAAGUGUUAUAGCCUAGGGUGUAAUACGGCCAGCUGGGACUGAGGUCCGCGCUUCGGCUAGGAUGCUGGCGUAAUGGUUGUAAGCGGCCCGUCUUGAAACACGGACCAAGGAGUCUAACAUCUAUGCGAGUGUUAGGGUGUCAAACCCUUACGCGUAAUGAAAGUGAACGGAGGUGAGAACCCGCAAGGGUGCAUCAUCGACCGAUCCUGAUGUCUUCGGAUGGAUUUGAGUAAGAGCAUAGCUGUUGGGACCCGAAAGAUGGUGAACUAUGCCUGAAUAGGGUGAAGCCAGAGGAAACUCUGGUGGAGGCUCGCAGCGGUUCUGACGUGCAAAUCGAUCGUCAAAUUUGGGUAUAGGGGCGAAAGACUAAUCGAACCAUCUAGUAGCUGGUUCCUGCCGAAGUUCUCCCCCUAGGGAUUA
This 899-nucleotide ribosomal RNA is filed under the name Stylodothis puccinioides. Its description in RNAcentral is "partial large subunit ribosomal RNA". It matches the Rfam family "Eukaryotic large subunit ribosomal RNA", at positions 68 to 980 of the family's 3401-position model. Lineage: Eukaryota; Fungi; Ascomycota; Dothideomycetes; Dothideales; Dothideaceae. The record is from RNAcentral.